UCACUUGAUCUUCAUUGCCACAAAAAAUCCUGGCCAUUCCAAAGUCUGAAAUUUUGGGAUUCAGCUCACGGUCCAAUAAGAUGUUACUUGGCUUCAGAUCUCUAUGAAUAAUUCUUAGUCUAGAAUCUCUGUGAAGGUAAAGAAGACCUCGACAAAUCCCGUUAAUAAUGUCGAAGCGUCUUUCCCAAUCUAGUUGUCCUUUCCUGAGUGAAUCUAAG
This is a long non-coding RNA of Populus trichocarpa (black cottonwood), 218 nucleotides long. RefSeq lists it as uncharacterized. The transcript has 2 exons. Lineage: Eukaryota; Viridiplantae; Streptophyta; Magnoliopsida; Malpighiales; Salicaceae. The record is from RefSeq and is a predicted model, not a curated record.